GGCUUAUUAGCCCAGCUGGCUGAGAGCUUGUAGCCUCUGGGUAUGCUGCUCCUGUCGUUGGCUCAAAUCCAACAUAAGCCC
RNAcentral lists this transfer RNA (81 nucleotides) under Paragonimus westermani. Its description in RNAcentral is "tRNA-Gln". Lineage: Eukaryota; Metazoa; Platyhelminthes; Trematoda; Plagiorchiida; Troglotrematidae. The record is from RNAcentral.